CCCCUUCGGGGGUGAUGCUCGUGGAACGAGCGGCGGACGGGUGAGUAACACGUGGGCAACCUGCCUGUAAGACCGGAAUAACCCCGGGAAACCGGGGCUAAUGCCGGGUAACACUUUCUUUCGCAUGAAAGAGAGUUGAAAGAUGGCUUCUUGCUAUCACUUACAGAUGGGCCCGCGGCGCAUUAGCUAGUUGGUGAGGUAACGGCUCACCAAGGCGACGAUGCGUAGCCGACCUGAGAGGGUGAUCGGCCACACUGGGACUGAGACACGGCCCAGACUCCUACGGGAGGCAGCAGUAGGGAAUCUUCCGCAAUGGACGAAAGUCUGACGGAGCAACGCCGCGUGAACGAUGAAGGUCUUCGGAUCGUAAAGUUCUGUUGUUAGGGAAGAACAAGUACCGUGCGAAUAGAACGGUACCUUGACGGUACCUAACGAGGAAGCCCCGGCUAACUACGUGCCAGCAGCCGCGGUAAUACGUAGGGGGCAAGCGUUGUCCGGAAUUAUUGGGCGUAAAGCGCGCGCAGGCGGUUCCUUAAGUCUGAUGUGAAAGCCCACGGCUCAACCGUGGAGGGUCAUUGGAAACUGGGGAACUUGAGGACAGAAGAGGAGAGUGGAAUUCCACGUGUAGCGGUGAAAUGCGUAGAUAUGUGGAGGAACACCAGUGGCGAAGGCGACUCUCUGGUCUGUUUCUGACGCUGAGGUGCGAAAGCGUGGGUAGCAAACAGGAUUAGAUACCCUGGUAGUCCACGCCGUAAACGAUGAGUGCUAGGUGUUAGGGGGCUUCCACCCCUUAGUGCUGAAGUUAACGCAUUAAGCACUCCGCCUGGGGAGUACGGCCGCAAGGCUGAAACUCAAAGGAAUUGACGGGGGCCCGCACAAGCGGUGGA
RNAcentral lists this ribosomal RNA (887 nucleotides) under Halobacillus trueperi. RNAcentral's name for it is "bacterial SSU rRNA". It matches the Rfam family "Bacterial small subunit ribosomal RNA", at positions 70 to 936 of the family's 1533-position model. The record is from RNAcentral. Lineage: Bacteria; Bacillati; Bacillota; Bacilli; Caryophanales; Bacillaceae.